CCACAGGGCGGCGGGUCAGGUUUCCGGUGCGAACGCGGAAACCGCCGGGCUGUGAGGUUACCGCUUGGGACUGGGCGCGCGCCGCGCUCUGUUCCGGUGUCCGUCCGCCACGAUGCCUCACUUGGAGAGCAUGGUGCUCUGUCGAGAGGCCCAAGUGUCCACCUUGCAGUCUCUGUUUGGAGAGAGACAUCAUUUCAGCUUUCCAUCCAUUUUUAUUUAUGGACACACUGCCAGUGGAAAGACCUAUGUAACACAAACAUUGUUGAGAACUUUAGAGCUCCCACAUGUCUUUGUGAAUUGUGUUGAAUGCUUUACUCUAAGGCUGCUUUUGGAACAAAUUUUGAACAAGUUGAGUCAUCUUAGUUCUUCAGAGGAGGGAUGUUCUACUGAAAUAACUUGUGAAACAUUUAAUGACUUUGUUCGCUUGUUUAAACAAGUAACCAAAGCUGAAAAUCUCAAGAAUCAGACUGUAUAUAUUGUUCUAGAUAAAGCAGACUAUCUAAGAGAUAUGGAAGCAAAUCUUUUACCUGGGUUUCUUAGGUUACAAGAAUUGACUGGCAGAAACGUGACUGUUCUCUUCCUCAGUGAAAUUAUUUGGGAAAAGUUUCGUCCGAAUACUGGAUGUUUUGAGCCAUUUGUCUUGUAUUUCCCUGAUUAUAGCAUAGGCAACCUUCAGAAGAUCCUGUGCCACGAUCAUCCUCCAGAGUACUCAGCUGAUUUCUAUGCUGCCUACAUCAAUAUUCUUCUUGGAGUUUUCUACACCGUGUGUCGGGAUUUGAAAGAACUCAGACAUCUGGCAGUACUUAAUUUUCCUAAAUAUUGUGAACCUGUCAUUAAAGGAGAAGCAAGUGAACGUGACACUCGCAAACUGUGGAAAAAUAUUGAACCUCAUUUGAAGAAAGCUAUGCAGACCGUUUACCUCAGGGAAAUAUCAAGUUCUCAAUGGGAAAAGCUACAGAAAGAUGACACAGAUCCGGGACAACUAAAAGGUCUCUCAGCGUACACUCAUGUGGAACUUCCAUAUUACUCUAAGUUUAUUCUAAUUGCUGCAUACCUUGCUUCAUACAAUCCAGCAAGAACUGACAAGAGGUUCUUCCUUAAGCAUCAUGGGAAAAUCAAGAAAACCAACUUUCUAAAGAAACAUGAAAAGACAAGCAAUCAUCUCCUUGGACCAAAACCAUUUCCAUUAGACCGAUUAUUAGCAAUAUUAUAUAGUAUAGUGGACAGCAGAGUGGCUCCAACAGCAAAUAUCUUCUCCCAGAUUUCCGUACAUUUCAGGUACUGUGUUAGAAAAAGGAUACAGAAGGGAAGAAAAUAGUCUGGCUUUCACACCCUUUCCCUUGUGCUGGUGCAGGUACCAGAUUGUAGCUUGUGUUAAGUUAAUGGUGAGUGUGUGUAUUUACUCAGGACAGGUAUAUGCAGAAUAAGUAAUACUUAAACACUUAAAGUGAAUCAUAACUGCUUACUAUUUAAAUACAGUAAUUAAAAAAUAAAAUAUUUGGUGGUUUGUUUUGGGGUGUUUUUUUUGCUUUAGUAGGACUUGGUCCUUGAUAUUAGAUAUUUGUUGUCUGCCUAAUGAUAGCAAAUUUGCUAUGUAGACCGUUGCCUUGUGAUAUGCCUUGAAUUUAGUAUUUGGAGCAAUGAUGUGUGAUACCUGUGUCAUAACUAAGUUUUGUUAACACCUAAUUAAAUAGUAACACUUGGAACUUAAGUGAUGGGCAGAUUAGCAGUGUACUGUAUGUGGCUGUAACAAGCUGUCUGAAUGACUUUCUUUAAAAAGCUAUGUUGCUAUAUUUCAAAUACUUCAUAAUUAUAUUCAUUGUUAUUUUUCUUGUAUAUUCAGUAUUUUAGACUAUGCUUUCAGAUUUUUAACCCAAAACACUUUAAGCAAAUAACCUUUUUACUUAAGUUAAUUUGCAUGUUGCAUAACAUUAUGGUUCUAGCAUUUUUACAAAAAGUAAUUACAUUUGUUAAAUGCUAGUCACAUAAUAUUAGAAAUCAUAGUUAAUAGAAUACUAAUACAUACUGAUUAGAAAGGCUUUGAUCCAUAUAAAAUGUAACAUCCUGAAAACUAGCUAUAAGAUAUUCAUAUAAAGUAAUUUGAGUCGGAAUAUUAUCUCUAUAUACAUUAAAUUUGGUGGCUAAAAGGGACAAUUUUUCUUUUUAAAAAAACCCGCAGUAUUGGAGUAUUAGAAAUGUGAAGAGCUAUUCCUUUGUAAUUUCUCUGUCCUUCCUUUGUCUUGUACCAGCAUUCCAGUGUCUCAGUAAUACUCAGCUGAAAUACUUGAUGCUAUUAAGAUUUGUCAUUGAAUCCUCAGUAGCUGGAUAAGAAAGACUAAUCCCACCUCUGCCUUCGCAUACGUGCUACACUGAGCUGGGGCGCUUUGACAUCCAGAGACAUCUGUCCAUCCACACUGACCAUCUUCUCAGACUGCUUAGGUAUCACUGCUCGUCUAGAGAUGUGGGUUUAUCAUAUUGUAAAGUGGAGCAAGAAGAUUACCUCUCUAGUGACCCUUCAGCUGUUAACCCUGGUUGGCCAUGACGAUCAGCUUGAUGGACCAAAGUACAAGUGCACAGUUUCACUAGACUUCAUCAGAGCUAUUGCAAGGACAGUGAACUUUGACAUAAUAAAAUACUUGUAUGAUUUCUUGUGAAAACAAGCUUCACAGCCAUAUGGACACUGUGACAAUGACUAAACCAAGCUGCGUUCAUCCAACUACUUGGCUGGCCAGGCAGAGGAGUUCUUUGGCUCUGUUGGAUUUGUCCAAACAGGUGCUGGCCCAGCAUGGAAUCGGUUGAAAAUAUUCUGAUUGGUCUUGGUGGAUGUGAGCAGAAGACUAUUUACCAGAGACCCUGGAGUAUUUGGAAGCAACGUGUUAAUUACAAACAGCAGGGUUUGAGCACAAUCUGUUCUAUUCUUAAUGAUGUUAUCUUAACACUGAAAUUGCCUGAAACCCAUUUACUUAGGACUACAUUUUGCUCUGUGAACUAUCCCUUGCGCUUUGAACAUGCCAGCAGCCCUUGUUUAUAUGCCCAGUCUUUUCACUUCUUCUCCACAGGAGCCUAUGCAGUUGCUUACCAGAGCAGAUUUCCUAAGGCCACCAUUUUAAAAGAUCAUGGUUGCAAAAAUAUAAUAAAUGAAGAGUCUUUUAAAAAUC
Heterocephalus glaber (naked mole-rat) is the source of this 3158-nucleotide non-coding RNA. The record is from RefSeq and is a predicted model, not a curated record. NCBI's taxonomy places the organism in Eukaryota, Metazoa, Chordata, Mammalia, Rodentia, Bathyergidae.